GCCAGGGGGUGUGGGGAAGCACACCUGUAAUCCCAGCAACCUGGGAGGUUGAGGCAGGAGGAUCACAAGUUCCAGCCUUAGCAAUUUAGUGAGCCCCUGUCUCAA
RNAcentral lists this small RNA (105 nucleotides) under Marmota monax (woodchuck). The record is from RNAcentral. Lineage: Eukaryota; Metazoa; Chordata; Mammalia; Rodentia; Sciuridae.